RNAcentral lists this ribosomal RNA (253 nucleotides) under uncultured bacterium. Its description in RNAcentral is "partial 16S ribosomal RNA". It matches the Rfam family "Bacterial small subunit ribosomal RNA", at positions 524 to 776 of the family's 1533-position model. The record is from RNAcentral.
UACGGAGGGUGCGAGCGUUGUCCGGAAUCACUGGGCGUAAAGGGCGCGUAGGCGGCGCGGAUAGUCGGCGGUGAAAGCCCGGAGCUCAACUCCGGGUCGGCCGUCGAUACUUCCGGGCUUGAGCACUGUAGAGGCAGAUGGAAUUCCGGGUGUAGCGGUGGAAUGCGUAGAGAUCCGGAAGAACACCGGUGGCGAAGGCGGCUGCCUGGCCUGAUACUGACACUGAGGCACGAAAGCGUGGGGAGCAAACAGG